RNAcentral lists this Y RNA (102 nucleotides) under Microcebus murinus (gray mouse lemur). Its description in RNAcentral is "Y RNA (ENSMICG00000042857.1)". It matches the Rfam family "Y RNA". Rfam says of the family: Y RNAs are components of the Ro ribonucleoprotein particle (Ro RNP), in association with Ro60 and La proteins. The Y RNAs and Ro60 and La proteins are well conserved, but the function of the Ro RNP is not known. Lineage: Eukaryota; Metazoa; Chordata; Mammalia; Primates; Cheirogaleidae. The record is from Rfam by way of RNAcentral.
GGCUGGUCCGAGUGCAGGGGUGUUUACAACUAAUUCAUCACAACCAGUUACAGAUUCCUUUGCUCCUUCUCCUUUUUCACUGUUUCACUUGACCACCCUUAA